AAGGGAGACCUAAUUCAGGUAGGAGACGAAAAAAAAGUAGUCCCUACCAAGAAUCAAUCCCAAAAGGUCGGAGCGAGGCAAAAUUGGCUUUCAAACUAGGUUCUGGGUUCACACAAGACCUGAAUCAGGAACAAGGGCUAUUAGCUCAGGUGGUUAGAGCGCAUCCCUGAUAAGGGUGAGGUCCCUGGUUCGAGUCCAGGAUGGCCCACCUGUACAGGUGGCAAAAACAAAGAAAAGAAGCGAGGAAUCAGCACCUUAUCUUACUUAUAUAGUAAGAGAGAAUGCUGGCUCUGAGUUCAGAGUCCAGAGGAACCUUGAAAACUGCAUAGAGCUAGGUGAAAAAGCCAAAAAAGAAGACCACAA
RNAcentral lists this transfer RNA (363 nucleotides) under uncultured Microcystis sp. RNAcentral describes it as "partial miscellaneous RNA". The stretch from base 135 to 208 matches the Rfam family "tRNA". The record is from RNAcentral. Lineage: Bacteria; Bacillati; Cyanobacteriota; Cyanophyceae; Chroococcales; Microcystaceae.